UGCAGUCGAGCGGCAGCGGGAGGAAGCUUGCUUCCUCGCCGGCGAGCGGCGGACGGGUGAGUAAUGUCUGGGGAUCUGCCCGAUGGAGGGGGAUAACCACUGGAAACGGUGGCUAAUACCGCAUAACGUCGCAAGACCAAAGUGGGGGACCUUCGGGCCUCACACCAUCGGAUGAACCCAGAUGGGAUUAGCUAGUAGGUGGGGUAAUGGCUCACCUAGGCGACGAUCCCUAGCUGGUCUGAGAGGAUGACCAGCCACACUGGAACUGAGACACGGUCCAGACUCCUACGGGAGGCAGCAGUGGGGAAUAUUGCACAAUGGGCGCAAGCCUGAUGCAGCCAUGCCGCGUGUGUGAAGAAGGCCUUCGGGUUGUAAAGCACUUUCAGCGAGGAGGAAGGUGGUGAGCUUAAUACGUUCAUCAAUUGACGUUA
Molecule: ribosomal RNA, 431 nt
Filed under: Serratia sp. (in: enterobacteria)
Lineage: Bacteria; Pseudomonadati; Pseudomonadota; Gammaproteobacteria; Enterobacterales; Yersiniaceae
Description: bacterial SSU rRNA
Rfam family: Bacterial small subunit ribosomal RNA
Source: RNAcentral